Molecule: ribosomal RNA, 270 nt
Filed under: uncultured archaeon
Lineage: Archaea
Description: partial 16S ribosomal RNA
Rfam family: Archaeal small subunit ribosomal RNA
Source: RNAcentral
CAGCACCUCAAGUGGUCAGGAUGAUUAUUGGGCCUAAAGCAUCCGUAGCCGGCGCUGUAAGUUUUCGGUUUAAUCUGUACGCUCAACGUACAGGCUGCCGGGAAUACUGCAGCGCUAGGGAGUGGGAGAGGUAGACGGUACUCGGUAGGAAGGGGUAAAAUCCUUUGAUCUAUUGAUGACCACCUGUGGCGAAGGCGGUCUACCAGAACACGUCCGACGGUGAGGGAUGAAAGCUGGGGGAGCAAACCGGAUUAGAUACCCGCGUAGUCC